UACAGAGGUCCCAAGCGUUGUCCGGAUUCACUGGGCGUAAAGGGUGCGUAGGUGGCCGGGUAAGUUUGAUGUGAAAUCUCCGAGCUUAACUCGGAAACUGCAUUGAAUACUAUCUUGCUUGAGGGUUGGAGGGGGGACUGGAAUUCUCGGUGUAGCAGUGAAAUGCGUAGAUAUCGAGAGGAACACCAGUGGCGAAGGCGAGUCCCUGGACAACUCCUGACACUGAGGCACGAAAGCUAGGGGAGCAAACAGG
This 253-nucleotide ribosomal RNA is filed under the name uncultured bacterium. RNAcentral's name for it is "partial 16S ribosomal RNA". It matches the Rfam family "Bacterial small subunit ribosomal RNA", at positions 524 to 776 of the family's 1533-position model. The record is from RNAcentral.